GCCAAGCAGUCCAGUGGAAAGAUGGAAUGAUUUGAAACCUUAGGUCAGGGGAUCGAAUCCCCUAUGGGUA
RNAcentral lists this transfer RNA (70 nucleotides) under Prunus dulcis (almond). RNAcentral describes it as "tRNA tRNA.Ser". The record is from RNAcentral. Lineage: Eukaryota; Viridiplantae; Streptophyta; Magnoliopsida; Rosales; Rosaceae.